AAAUCCACACCCAUAAACACUUGCACACAGAGCAGCCACACGGAGCCUCCUCCCAGGCCCAGGGUCUGCAGGUGCAGGCUCCAAUUACAGCAGCCAGCUCCUGUACCUUUUCAUCCUGAACAACAGCUACAGCCUGGGAUGGAGGAAGGUCCCGGAAGGAGAGCCGACUGCGGAGAACAAAGCCUGCCCAAAGAUUGCUUGUGCUGCUUGAGAAACUUUACAAGAGCUACGCCACAGCCCCCAUGAUGCAACUGAACCUUGUUCAAUAACGAUUGCUGCAAGCAAAUUAUCUUAGUGGACCAUAACAUUUUUUUUUUCCUUUGACUUUGGAAAGAGAUUCCAAAAACAACUUAGAUACCUAAGUUCUUUGAAGCUAGGGCAGCCAUGUCUGCCGUGUGUGUCACCAUGAGGCUGCAUGUGACUUGAUGGCUGGAGGGGGAGGGGGCAAGAGUCUCUCCUCUGUAUUCUAAGAUCCUUUGUCAGUGUGAACUGUUCUCUUCUCGUAUGUGUGUGGUUACCAUUUCCACUGAAAGUCGUAGAAGCUGACACUUGAAGGUGAAAUGUCUUGCUUAAAACACUCCCCGAUCUACUCUCUAGUGGACAGGAAGAUCAAACCAGGGCCAGAGACCCCAUCCCAUUUCCUGACUUUCAUGGCAGCUGUGAUGUAUUCCGAGGGCCACUCAAGUGUAGCUGCUCUGUUCGGGCCAUGUUCUUCCUACCACGAGGGCAUGUGUGAAAAGCCAUAUACUCAUUUUUUUUGAGACGUUUAAACUACUUUUUCCUUAAAUCAGGCUAAGACAGAGUCCUUCACCUACAUCCCACCUCUACUUAAAAAACAGAAAAGAUAAUAGAUGACAGCGUCUGUGAGAUGCCUCUGUGACAACCACUCUGAGCUGCAGCUGUUGGUCUCAGCAGUUAUUGCUCUUGGAACACUCCACAGGAAAGGCUAUCAUCUUCCGGCACUAGAACACAGAACUGUUAGUUAACCUGCCCAAGGUCACACAGGAGUCAGCCACAGACCCAGUUGGAGUCCAACGUCAAACACUUCUCAGCCUCUCUUCCUUCCCCACCACCGGCAGACUCGGUCCACACAGCUGCUUGGUACUUGCUCACUCAGUAAAUAUUUACAUCUUUUAGCAUCUUUCCAGCUGCAUUUGGGAGAUGGGAGGUACUCUCAUGUAGCUGGACAUGCACGUAAAACAGUUGGAGAAGAUGUAAACUUGAAUUAUAUAGACACAGUUAUAUA
Molecule: long non-coding RNA, 1246 nt
Organism: Mus musculus (house mouse)
Lineage: Eukaryota; Metazoa; Chordata; Mammalia; Rodentia; Muridae
Product: predicted gene 15985
Exons: 2
Source: RefSeq, a predicted model, not a curated record